This 73-nucleotide transfer RNA is filed under the name Cotesia glomerata. Its description in RNAcentral is "tRNA-Thr". The record is from RNAcentral. Lineage: Eukaryota; Metazoa; Arthropoda; Insecta; Hymenoptera; Braconidae.
GUCUCGGAUAGCUUAAUUAGAAGAGCCCUUGGCGCGUAACCAAAAGAUCCGGGUUCGAUUCCCAGCCCGGGCU